Molecule: unclassified non-coding RNA, 331 nt
Filed under: soil metagenome
Description: partial contains 5.8S ribosomal RNA, internal transcribed spacer 2, and large subunit ribosomal RNA
Rfam family: 5.8S ribosomal RNA (bases 1-120)
Source: RNAcentral
GAUGAAGAACGUAGCGAAAUGCGAUAAGUAAUGUGAAUUGCAGAAUUCAGUGAAUCAUCGAAUCUUUGAACGCACAUUGCGCCCCCUGGUAUUCCGGGGGGCAUGCCUGUUCGAGCGUCAUUUCACCACUCAAGCCUCGCUUGGUAUUGGGCAACGCGGUCCGCCGCGUGCCUCAAAUCGACCGGCUGGGUCUUCUGUCCCCUAAGCGUUGUGGAAACUAUUCGCUAAAGGGUGUCCGGGAGGCUACGCCGUAAAACAACCCCAUUUCUAAGGUUGACCUCGGAUCAGGUAGGGAUACCCGCUGAACUUAAGCAUAUCAAUAAGCGGAGGA